Molecule: ribosomal RNA, 468 nt
Filed under: uncultured bacterium
Lineage: Bacteria
Description: partial 16S ribosomal RNA
Rfam family: Bacterial small subunit ribosomal RNA
Source: RNAcentral
GACGAACGCUGGCGGCGUGCUUAACACAUGCAAGUCGAACGGAAAGGCCCUGCUUUUGUGGGGUGCUCGAGUGGCGAACGGGUGAGUAACACGUGAGUAACCUGCCCUUGACUUUGGGAUAACUUCAGGAAACUGGGGCUAAUACCGGAUAGGAGCUCCUGCUGCAUGGUGGGGGUUGGAAAGUUUCGGCGGUUGGGGAUGGACGCGCGGCCUAUCAGCUUGUUGGUGGGGUAGUGGCUUACCAAGGCUUUGACGGGUAGCCGGCCUGAGAGGGUGACCGGCCACAUUGGGACUGAGAUACGGCCCAGACUCCUACGGGAGGCAGCAGUGGGGAAUAUUGCACAAUGGACGGAAGCCUGAUGCAGCAACGCCGCGUGCGGGAUGACGGCCUUCGGGUUGUAAACCGCUUUCGCCUGUGACGAAGCGUGAGUGACGGUAAUGGGUAAAGAAGCACCGGCUAACUACGUG